RNAcentral lists this ribosomal RNA (256 nucleotides) under uncultured bacterium. Its description in RNAcentral is "partial 16S ribosomal RNA". It matches the Rfam family "Bacterial small subunit ribosomal RNA", at positions 524 to 776 of the family's 1533-position model. The record is from RNAcentral.
AACGGGGGGGGCUAGUGUUAUUCAUCUUAGCUGGGCGUAAAGUGUGCGUAGGCGGUUUUAAAAGUUUAAUUUAGAAUAAUCUAAACGUAAUUUAGAAACUAUUUUUUAUACUUUAAGACUAGAGGUCAAAGGAAGAAAGUUAUACUUCUAAAGGAGAGGUGAAAUUCAGAGAUCUUAGGGGGAUAACCAAAAGGCGAAGGCUACUUUCUAUAAUGAUACUGACGCUGAAGUUACUAAAGCGUGGGGAUCAAACGGG